AAGGGUUUCGGCUCGUAAAGCUCUGUUGUUGGAGAAGAACGUGCGUGAGAGUAACUGUUCACGCAGUGACGGUAUCCAACCAGAAAGUCACGGCUAACUACGUGCC
Molecule: ribosomal RNA, 106 nt
Filed under: uncultured bacterium
Lineage: Bacteria
Description: partial 16S ribosomal RNA
Rfam family: Bacterial small subunit ribosomal RNA
Source: RNAcentral